RNAcentral lists this ribosomal RNA (446 nucleotides) under uncultured bacterium. Its description in RNAcentral is "bacterial SSU rRNA". It matches the Rfam family "Bacterial small subunit ribosomal RNA", at positions 329 to 792 of the family's 1533-position model. The record is from RNAcentral.
GGCCAGACUCCUACGGGAGGCAGCAGUGGGGAAUAUUGCACAAUGGGGGAAACCCUGAUGCAGCGACGCCGCGUGAGUGAAGAAGUAUUUCGGUAUGUAAAGCUCUAUCAGCAGGGAAGAAAAUGACGGUACCUGACCAAGAAGCCCCGGCUAACUACGUGCCAGCAGCCGCGGUAAUACGUAGGGGGCAAGCGUUAUCCGGAUUUACUGGGUGUAAAGGGAGCGUAGACGGUUGUGCAAGUCAGAAGUGAAAGCCCGGGGCUCAACUCCGGGACUGCUUUUGAAACUGUGAAACUGGAGUGCAGGAGAGGUAAGCGGAAUUCCUGGUGUAGCGGUGAAAUGCGUAGAUAUCAGGAGGAACACCGGCGGCGAAGGCGGCCUGCUGGACCGUGACUGACGUUGAGGCUCGAGAGCGUGGGGAGCAAACAGGAUUAGAUACCCCAGUA